RNAcentral lists this RNase P RNA (357 nucleotides) under Dehalococcoidia bacterium. RNAcentral's name for it is "RNase P RNA component class A". It matches the Rfam family "Bacterial RNase P class A". Rfam says of the family: Ribonuclease P (RNase P) is a ubiquitous endoribonuclease, found in archaea, bacteria and eukarya as well as chloroplasts and mitochondria. The record is from RNAcentral. Lineage: Bacteria; Bacillati; Chloroflexota; Dehalococcoidia.
CAAGCAGACCGGGUGGCCGCCCUGAUUUUAUCGGGGAGGAAAGUCCGAACUCCGCCGGGCAGGGUGCUGGGUAACGCCCAGGAGGGGUGACCCUACGGAAAGUGCCACAGAAACUAUACCGUCCCGAUCAGGUCGGGAUAAGGGUGAAAAGGCGAGGUAAGAGCUCACCAGCGUCCGGGAGACCGGCCGGCUGGGCAAACCCCACCCGGAGCAAGACCAAAUAGGGGGACCACGGGACGCCCGGACCACGUCCUCGGGUUGGUCGCUGGACCCCGAUGGUAACAUCGGGGCUAGAUAGAUGGCCACCGUCUCGACAGUGUCGGGAUACAGGAUUCGGCUUAUAGGUCUACUUGCCCC